UACGUAGGGGGCGAGCGUUGUCCGGAAUGAUUGGGCGUAAAGGGCGCGUAGGCGGCCCGGUAAGUCCGAAGUGAAAGUCCUGGCUGCAAGUUGGGAAUUGCUUUGGAUACUGUCGGGCUUGAGUGCAGGAGAGGUAAGUGGAAUUCCCAGUGUAGCGGUGAAAAGCGUAGAGAUUGGGAGGAACACCAGUGGCGAAGGCGACUUACUGGACUGUAACUGACGCUGAGGCGCGAAAGUGUGGGGAGCAAAC
This 250-nucleotide ribosomal RNA is filed under the name uncultured prokaryote. RNAcentral's name for it is "partial 16S ribosomal RNA". It matches the Rfam family "Bacterial small subunit ribosomal RNA", at positions 524 to 773 of the family's 1533-position model. The record is from RNAcentral.